Molecule: ribosomal RNA, 468 nt
Filed under: uncultured bacterium
Lineage: Bacteria
Description: partial 16S ribosomal RNA
Rfam family: Bacterial small subunit ribosomal RNA
Source: RNAcentral
GACGAACGCUGGCGGCGUGCUUAACACAUGCAAGUCGAACGGAAAGGCCCUGCUUUUGUGGGGUGCUCGAGUGGCGAACGGGUGAGUAACACGUGAGUAACCUGCCCUUGACUUUGGGAUAACUUCAGGAAACUGGCGCUAAUACCGGAUAGGAGCUCCUGCUGCAUGGUGGGGGUUGGAAAGUUUCGGCGGUUGGGGAUGGACUCGCGGCUUAUCAGCUUGUUGGUGGGGUAGUGGCUUACCAAGGCUUUGACGGGUAGCCGGCCUGAGAGGGUGACCGGCCACAUUGGGACUGAGAUACGGCCCAGACUCCUACGGGAGGCAGCAGUGGGAAAUAUUGCACAAUGGGCGGAAGCCUGAUGCAGCAACGCCGCGUGCGGGAUGACGGCCUUCGGGUUGUAAACCGCUUUCGCCUGUGACGAAGCGUGAGUGACGGUAAUGGGUAAAGAAGCACCGGCUAACUACGUG